Molecule: ribosomal RNA, 498 nt
Filed under: uncultured Glomeromycotina
Lineage: Eukaryota; Fungi; Glomeromycota
Description: partial small subunit ribosomal RNA
Rfam family: Eukaryotic small subunit ribosomal RNA
Source: RNAcentral
CCAAUAGCGUAUAUUAAAGUUGUUGCAGUUAAAAAGCUCGUAGUUGAAUUUCGGGAUUCUACCGUUGGUCGGGCUAACAAGUCUGUACUGGUGUGUAGAAUUUCUACCUUCUGGGGAACUAUCAUGUUAUUAAUUUAGCGUGGUGGGAAACCAGGACCUUUACCUUGAAAAAAUUAGAGUGUUCAAAGCAGGCUUACGUCUGAAUACAUUAGCAUGGAAUAAUAGAAUAGGACGGUGGUCCUGUUUUGUUGGUUUCUGAAUCACCGUAAUGAUUAAUAGGGAUAGUUGGGGGCAUUAGUAUUCAAUUGUCAGAGGUGAAAUUCUUGGAUUUAUUGAAGACUAACUUCUGCGAAAGCAUUUGCCAAGGAUGUUUUCAUUAAUCAAGAACGAAAGUUAGGGGAUCGAAGACGAUCAGAUAACGUCGUAGUCUUAACCAUAAACUAUGCCGACUAGGGAUCGGACGAUGUUAAAUUUUAUUGACUCGUUCGGCGCCUUACG